AACGAACGCUGGCGGCAUGCCUAACACAUGCAAGUCGAACGAAGCCUUCGGGCUUAGUGGCGCACGGGUGCGUAACGCGUGGGAAUCUGCCCCUUGCUUCGGAAUAACAGUUAGAAAUGACUGCUAAUACCGGAUGAAGUCUUCGGACCAAAGAUUUAUCGGCAAGGGAUGAGCCCGCGUAGGAUUAGGUAGUUGGUGGGGUAAAGGCCUACCAAGCCGACGAUCCUUAGCUGGUCUGAGAGGAUGAUCAGCCACACUGGGACUGAGACACGGCCCAGACUCCUACGGGAGGCAGCAGUGGGGAAUAUUGGACAAUGGACGCAAGUCUGAUCCAGCAAUGCCGCGUGAGUGAUGAAGGCCUUAGGGUUGUAAAGCUCUUUUACCAGGGAUGAUAAUGACAGUACCUAGAGAAUAAGCUCCGGCUAACUCCGUG
This 433-nucleotide ribosomal RNA is filed under the name uncultured bacterium. RNAcentral describes it as "partial 16S ribosomal RNA". It matches the Rfam family "Bacterial small subunit ribosomal RNA", at positions 29 to 507 of the family's 1533-position model. The record is from RNAcentral.